Molecule: RNase P RNA, 342 nt
Filed under: Borrelia salvatorii
Lineage: Bacteria; Pseudomonadati; Spirochaetota; Spirochaetia; Spirochaetales; Borreliaceae
Description: Borrelia sp. RT1S RNase P RNA component class A
Rfam family: Bacterial RNase P class A
About the family: Ribonuclease P (RNase P) is a ubiquitous endoribonuclease, found in archaea, bacteria and eukarya as well as chloroplasts and mitochondria. Its best characterised activity is the generation of mature 5'-ends of tRNAs by cleaving the 5'-leader elements of precursor-tRNAs.
Source: RNAcentral
AGUUAAUAUCCAGUCAUCGCUUAAUUUACUUUGAAGUAUUUUAGGAGGAAAGUCCGAGCUCCGAUAAGAGCAUAAUGCUAGGUAAUGCCUAGGGGUCCUAGACUUAAGAAAGUGUCACAGAAAAUUACCGCCUUAGGGUAAGGGUGAAAAGGUGAGGUAAGAGCUCACCGCUUAUUUAGUGAUAAAUAGGGUCAAGACAAACCUCAUUAGGAGCAAAAUCAAGUAUGCAAGUUUUUCUUGCUCUUGGGAACUUGCGGGUGGAUUGCAUGAUUUUUCCAGUGAUGGAAAGACAAGAUAGAUGAUGACGUAAUACAGAACUCGGCUUAUGGGUAUUAACUUAAU